Molecule: microRNA precursor, 70 nt
Filed under: Paramuricea clavata
Lineage: Eukaryota; Metazoa; Cnidaria; Anthozoa; Malacalcyonacea; Plexauridae
Source: RNAcentral
CAGGUGUUACGUGCGGAAAUUGUUACCAUUUUAAGCCGAAAAUGGUAACGAUUUCCGCUCGUAAUACAAA